This 196-nucleotide ribosomal RNA is filed under the name Garcinia sp. JA 3660. Its description in RNAcentral is "5.8S ribosomal RNA". The stretch from base 45 to 196 matches the Rfam family "5.8S ribosomal RNA". From Rfam's summary of the family: 5.8S ribosomal RNA (5.8S rRNA) is a component of the large subunit of the eukaryotic ribosome. It is transcribed by RNA polymerase I as part of the 45S precursor that also contains 18S and 28S rRNA. Lineage: Eukaryota; Viridiplantae; Streptophyta; Magnoliopsida; Malpighiales; Clusiaceae. The record is from RNAcentral.
AGUGUAUGCGACGAGGGAUUGUUCCUUUUAGUCGUAAAUAAAACGACUCUCGGCAACGGAUAUCUCAGCUCUCGCAUCGAUGAAGAACGUAGCGAAAUGCGAUACGUGGUGUGAAUUGCAGAAUCCCGUGAACCAUCGAGUUUUUGAACGCAAGUUACGCCCGAAGCCUUCAGGUUGAGGGCACGUCUGCCUGGGU